Ictalurus punctatus (channel catfish) is the source of this 470-nucleotide long non-coding RNA. Lineage: Eukaryota; Metazoa; Chordata; Actinopteri; Siluriformes; Ictaluridae. The record is from Ensembl.
CCCAUAUUCCCGGUGACCCAGGUUUCCAAGUCAUCAUAUCUCCAGUGCCCCAGGAUUCCAAAUACCCAUAUUCCCAGUGCCCUAGGUUCCAAAGUCCCCAUAUUCCCAGUGCCCCAGGAUUCCAAAUACCCAUAUUCCCAGUGCCCUAGGUUCCAAAGUCACCAUAUUCCUGGUGACCCAGGUUUCCAAGUCAUCAUAUCUCCAGUGCCCCAGGAUUCCAAAUACCCAUAUUCCCAGUGCCCUAGGUUCCAAAGUCCCCAUAUUCCCAGUGCCCCAGGAUUCCAAAUACCCAUAUUCACAGUACCCUAGGUUCCAAAGUCCCGAUAUUCCCAGUGCCCCAGGAUUCCAAAUACCCAUAUUCCCAGUACCCUAGUCUCCAAAGUCACAAUAUUCCCAGUGCCCCAGGUUCCCAAGUCUCCAUAUUCCCAGUGCCCUAGGUAUCCAAGUACCCAUAUUCUCAGUACCCUAGG